GCGGCGGACGGGUUAGUAACGCGUGGGAACGUACCCUUCUCUAUGGAAUAGCCUCGGGAAACUGAGAGUAAUACCAUAUACGCCCCUUCGGGGGGAAAGAUUUAUCGGGGAAGGAUCGGCCCGCGUCUGAUUAGAUAGUUGGUGGGGUAAUGGCCUACCAAGUCUACGAUCAGUAGCUGGUUUUAGAGGAUGAUCAGCAACACUGGGACUGAGACACGGCCCAGACUCCUACGGGAGGCAGCAGUGGGGAAUCUUAGACAAUGGGCGCAAGCCUGAUCUAGCCAUGCCGCGUGAGUGAUGAAGGCCUUAGGGUCGUAAAGCUCUUUCGCCAGAGAUGAUAAUGACAGUAUCUGGUAAAGAAACCCCGGCUAACUCCGUGCCAGCAGCCGCGGUAAUACGGAGGGGGUUAGCGUUGUUCGGAAUUACUGGGCGUAAAGCGCACGUAGGCGGAUCAGAAAGUUGGGGGUGAAAUCCCGGGGCUCAACCCCGGAACGGCCUCCAAAACUCCUGGUCUUGAGUUCGAGAGAGGUGAGUGGAAUUCCGAGUGUAGAGGUGAAAUUCGUAGAUAUUCGGAGGAACACCAGUGGCGAAGGCGGCUCACUGGCUCGAUACUGACGCUGAGGUGCGAAAGUGUGGGGAGCAAACAGGAUUAGAUACCCUGGUAGUCCACACCGUAAACGAUGAAUGCCAGUCGUCGGGUAGUAUACUGCUCGGUGACACACCUAACGGAUUAAGCAUUCCGCCUGGGG
RNAcentral lists this ribosomal RNA (749 nucleotides) under uncultured bacterium. RNAcentral describes it as "bacterial SSU rRNA". It matches the Rfam family "Bacterial small subunit ribosomal RNA", at positions 95 to 878 of the family's 1533-position model. The record is from RNAcentral.